Molecule: ribosomal RNA, 421 nt
Filed under: uncultured eukaryote
Lineage: Eukaryota
Description: SSU rRNA
Rfam family: Eukaryotic small subunit ribosomal RNA
Source: RNAcentral
CAAUAGCGUAUAUUUAAGUUGUUGCAGUUAAAAAGCUCGUAGUUGGAUUUCGGGUGAAGAUGACCGGUCUGCCGAUGCGGUACGCACUGGACGUUUUCAUCUUAUUGUCGGGGACGCGCUUCUGGGCUUUAUUGUUCGGGACGCGGAGUCGGCGCUGUUACUUUGAAAAAUUAGAGUGUUCAAAGCAGGCAAUCGCUCUGAAUACAUUAGCAUGGAAUAACGCUAUAGGACUCUGGUCCUAUUGUGUUGGUCUUCGGGACCGGAGUAAUGAUUAAUAGGGAUAGUUGGGGGCAUUCGUAUUUAACUGUCAGAGGUGAAAUUCUUGGAUUUUUGGAAGACAAACUACUGCGAAAGCAUUUACCAAGGAUGUUUUCAUUAAUCAAGAACGAAAGUUAGGGGAUCGAAGAUGAUUAGAUACCAU